This 460-nucleotide long non-coding RNA is filed under the name Nicotiana benthamiana. RNAcentral's name for it is "long non-coding RNA (NBEN_LNC007184)". The record is from RNAcentral. Lineage: Eukaryota; Viridiplantae; Streptophyta; Magnoliopsida; Solanales; Solanaceae.
CUCCUUCCAUAUUCAAAUAUACGAGUCCUCAUACCAUUAAUAUAAAAGUGUUUCUUCUACAAUAACACGGACAAAUUCUCACUAAUAAUUAUGAAUACCUCUAAAUAACAAUGUUAUUGUCGUAGAUCAAACAAAAAACAUUUCUUUUUCAAGGACAAAAGUUAGAUAAUGAGUAGGAUUUCAAGACUGUUAUUCUGUCUAAUAACUUUUCUAACGAAAAUUCCCAAAUUCCUUGACGUUUCUUGCGGAAACUCUAUGAAUUUUCUUUGUGUUCGUUCUUUCAAAGAAUCGAAAUCCAAGUCUGGGCCAAAACCUAGCAAGUGGAAGCUUUUGUUUUGCAGAAUUGUUGGCGGAAGUGACGAACCUUUAUGCAUCCACAAUAUUCCCUGAUUCUGGCGAUGAUCACAAUGUAUACAUCUCUCCAUUAGCUUCCAAAUCCUGUUGGUUAGAAUUUUGAGCU